Molecule: ribosomal RNA, 472 nt
Filed under: uncultured bacterium
Lineage: Bacteria
Description: bacterial SSU rRNA
Rfam family: Bacterial small subunit ribosomal RNA
Source: RNAcentral
UGGGGAAUAUUGGACAAUGGGCGAAAGCCUGAUCCAGCCAUGCCGCGUGUGUGAAGAAGGUCUUCGGAUUGUAAAGCACUUUAAGUUGGGAGGAAGGGCCAUUACCUAAUACGUGAUGGUUUUGACGUUACCGACAGAAUAAGCACCGGCUAACUCUGUGCCAGCAGCCGCGGUAAUACAGAGGGUGCAAGCGUUAAUCGGAAUUACUGGGCGUAAAGCGCGCGUAGGUGGUUUGUUAAGUUGGAUGUGAAAUCCCCGGGCUCAACCUGGGAACUGCAUUCAAAACUGACUGACUAGAGUAUGGUAGAGGGUGGUGGAAUUUCCUGUGUAGCGGUGAAAUGUGUAGAUAUAGGAAGGAACACCAGUGGCGAAGGCGACCACCUGGACUGAUACUGACACUGAGGUGCGAAAGCGUGGGGAGCAAACAGGAUUAGAUACCCCGGUAGUCCCUGAGCGGGCUGGCAAGGCGCAU